RNAcentral lists this ribosomal RNA (636 nucleotides) under uncultured bacterium. RNAcentral's name for it is "bacterial SSU rRNA". It matches the Rfam family "Bacterial small subunit ribosomal RNA", at positions 202 to 838 of the family's 1533-position model. The record is from RNAcentral.
UAAAGAUCCGUCGGAUGGGGAUAGGCUCGCGUGACAUUAGCUAGACGGCGGGGUAACGGCCCACCGUGGCGACGAUGUCUAGGGGUUCUGAGAGGAAGGUCCCCCACACUGGAACUGAGACACGGUCCAGACUCCUACGGGAGGCAGCAGUGAGGAAUAUUGGUCAAUGGCCGGAAGGCUGAACCAGCCAUGCCGCGUGAAGGUCAGUGCCCUAUGGGCGUUAAACUUCUUUUGUGCGGGAGCAAUAAUGGUCACGUGUGGCCAGACGAGAGUACCGUACGAAUAAGCAUCGGCUAACUCCGUGCCAGCAGCCGCGGUAAUACGGGGGAUGCAAGCGUUAUCCGGAUUUAUUGGGUUUAAAGGGUGCGUAGGCUGUGAGGUAAGUCAGCGGUGAAAUGCCCCCGCUCAACGGGGUGAAGUGCCAUUGAUACUGCCUUGCUGGAAUGCGGAUGCCGUGGGAGGAAUGUGCGGUGUAGCGGUGAAAUGCAUAGAUAUCACACAGAACACCGAUUGCGAAGGCAUCUCACGAAUCCGCGAUUGACGCUGAUGCACGAAAGCGUGGGUAUCAAACAGGAUUAGAUACCCUGGUAGUCCACGCUGUAAACGAUGAUGACUAACCGUCGGCGAUACACAGUC